RNAcentral lists this ribosomal RNA (468 nucleotides) under uncultured bacterium. Its description in RNAcentral is "partial 16S ribosomal RNA". It matches the Rfam family "Bacterial small subunit ribosomal RNA", at positions 28 to 507 of the family's 1533-position model. The record is from RNAcentral.
GACGAACGCUGGCGGCGUGCUUAACACAUGCAAGUCGAACGGAAAGGCCCUGCUUUUGUGGGGUGCUCGAGUGGCGAACGGGUGAGUAACACGUGAGUAACCUGCCCUUGACUUUGGGAUAACUUUAGGAAACUGGGGCUAUUACCGGAUAGGAGCUCCUGCUGCAUGGUGGGGGUUGGAAAGUUUCGGCGGUUGGGGAUGGACUCGCAGCUUAUCAGCUUGUUGGUGGGGUAGUGGCUUACCAAGGCUUUGACGGGUAGCCGGCCUGAGAGGGUGACCGGCCACAUUGGGACUGAGAUACGGCCCAGACUCCUACGGGAGGCAGCAGUGGGGAAUAUUGCACAAUGGGCGGAAGCCUGAUGCAGCAACGCCGCGUGCGGGAUGACGGCCUUCGGGUUGUAAACCGCUUUCGCCUGUGACGAAGCGUGAGUGACGGUAAUGGGUAAAGAAGCACCGGCUAACUACGUG